Molecule: non-coding RNA, 79 nt
Organism: Ameiurus melas (black bullhead)
Lineage: Eukaryota; Metazoa; Chordata; Actinopteri; Siluriformes; Ictaluridae
Source: the annotation of a GenBank genome assembly
GGCAGUGGUAGCUCAGUGGUUUAGACGUUGGUCUACGGAUCAGAAGGUCGUAAGGUCAAACCCUAACCCAGCACUGCCA